RNAcentral lists this ribosomal RNA (719 nucleotides) under Flavobacterium sp. 28AAIII. RNAcentral describes it as "bacterial SSU rRNA". It matches the Rfam family "Bacterial small subunit ribosomal RNA", at positions 66 to 788 of the family's 1533-position model. The record is from RNAcentral. Lineage: Bacteria; Pseudomonadati; Bacteroidota; Flavobacteriia; Flavobacteriales; Flavobacteriaceae.
GGUAUAGUUCUUCGGAAUUAGAGACCGGCGCACGGGUGCGUAACGCGUAUGCAAUCUACCUUUUACAGAGGGAUAGCCCAGAGAAAUUUGGAUUAAUACCUCAUAGUAUAGCAGUUUCGCAUGAAACCACUAUUAAAGUCACAACGGUAAAAGAUGAGCAUGCGUCCCAUUAGCUAGUUGGUAAGGUAACGGCUUACCAAGGCUACGAUGGGUAGGGGUCCUGAGAGGGAGAUCCCCCACACUGGUACUGAGACACGGACCACACUCCUACGGGAGGCAGCAGUGAGGAAUAUUGGACAAUGGGCGCAAGCCUGAUCCAGCCAUGCCGCGUGCAGGAUGACGGUCCUAUGGAUUGUAAACUGCUUUUAUACGAGAAGAAACACUACUUCGUGAAGUAGCUUGACGGUAUCGUAAGAAUAAGGAUCGGCUAACUCCGUGCCAGCAGCCGCGGUAAUACGGAGGAUCCAAGCGUUAUCCGGAAUCAUUGGGUUUAAAGGGUCCGUAGGCGGUUUAAUAAGUCAGUGGUGAAAGCCCAUCGCUCAACGGUGGAACGGCCAUUGAUACUGUUAAACUUGAAUUAUUAGGAAGUAACUAGAAUAUGUAGUGUAGCGGUGAAAUGCUUAGAGAUUACAUGGAAUACCAAUUGCGAAGGCAGGUUACUACUAAUGGAUUGACGCUGAUGGACGAAAGCGUGGGUAGCGAACAGGAUUAGAUACCCU